GACGAACGCUGGCGGCGUGCUUAACACAUGCAAGUCGAACGAAGUAGCGAACGGGUGAGUAACGCGUAAUUAACCUGCCCUUCAGAGGGGGACAACAGUUGGAAACGACUGCUAAUACCGCAUACUGAAGGAGGGGCUUGCGUCUGAUUAGCUAGUUGGAGGGGUAACGGCCCACCACGGCGAUGAUCAGUAGCCGGUCUUAGAGGAGGAACGGCCACAUUGGAACUGAGACACGGCCCCGACUCCUACGGGGGGCAGCAGUGGGGAAUCUUCCGCAAUGGACGAAAGGCGGACGGAGCAACGCCGCGUGAGUGAUGACGGCCUUCGGGUUGUAAAGCUCUGUUAAUCGGGACGCGGUACCGGAAUAGAAAGCCGCGGCUAACUACGUGCCAGUCGCCGCGGUAAUAC
Molecule: ribosomal RNA, 408 nt
Filed under: uncultured bacterium
Lineage: Bacteria
Description: partial 16S ribosomal RNA
Rfam family: Bacterial small subunit ribosomal RNA
Source: RNAcentral